UAAGACAGAGGUGCCAAGCGUUAGGCGGAAUCACUGGGCUUAAAGCGUGUGUAGGCGGAUCGUUAAGUACCUUGUGAAAUCCCACGGCUCAACCGUGGAACUGCUCGGUAUACUGGCGGUCUUGAGCCACCUAGGGGCAACUGGAACAAGCGGUGGAGCGGUGAAAUGCGUAGAUAUCGCUUGGAACGCCAACGGUGAAAACAGGUUGCUGGGGGUGUGCUGACGCUGAGACACGAAAGCCAGGGGAGCGAACGGGAUUAGAUACCCCGGUAGUCCUGGCCCUAAACGAUGUCGACUAGAUCGUAGUGCCUCUGACGGUAUUACGGUCGAAGCAAAAGUGCUAAGUCGACCGCCUGGGAAGUACGGUCGCAAGGCUA
Molecule: ribosomal RNA, 377 nt
Filed under: uncultured bacterium
Lineage: Bacteria
Description: bacterial SSU rRNA
Rfam family: Bacterial small subunit ribosomal RNA
Source: RNAcentral